This is an RNA transcript of Tachysurus fulvidraco (yellow catfish), 5922 nucleotides long. It is a transcript of the gene named MLLT1 super elongation complex subunit a, with no coding region annotated. The transcript is spliced from 12 exons. The record is from RefSeq and is a predicted model, not a curated record. Lineage: Eukaryota; Metazoa; Chordata; Actinopteri; Siluriformes; Bagridae.
AGGGGAGGGGAGAAAAUGGCCGCGUCUGGCUUCCGGUUUUUCAGUUUUUUUUUGUCGGGGGGUUGAAACUGACACACAAUGAUUCGGGAGGAACAACGGCCUGAGAAAACACGGCUUCUGUAAAUAAACACAACAUUCAGGCGGCCCGACAAACAUGGAGGAUCAGUGCACAGUACAGGUGAAGCUGGAACUGGGCCACCGCGCUCAGCUGCGGAAGAAAGCCACAUCCGAAGGCUUCACGCACGACUGGAUGGUGUUCGUACGAGGGCCCGAGAACAGCGACAUCCAGCACUUCGUAGACAAAGUCAUCUUCCGCCUGCAUGACAGUUUCCCAAAGCCAAAGAGAGUGUGUAAGGAGCCUCCAUAUAAAGUAGAAGAAUCAGGAUAUGCAGGAUUUCUCAUGCCUAUAGAGGUCUACUUUAAAAACAAGGAGGAGCCAAAGAAGGUUCUUUUUAACUACGACCUGUUCCUGAACCUGGAGGGGAACCCGCCUGUCAAUCACUUGCGCUGUGAGAAACUCACCUUCAACAACCCGACCCGAGACUUCCGCAAGAAACUGGUCAGAGCUGGAGGAAUUAUUGUGGUACCCGAGGGGGCGGAGCUGGUGUCCAGACCGAGUCCAGACUACCCCAUGCUUCCCACAAUCCCUUUGUCCGCCUUCUCCGACCCCAAGAAGAGCAAAAGUGGCCAGGGGCCCAAGGAGCUCAGUAAAGAAAACAGCAACAUAUCUAAAGCCCCCAAACCCCACAAACUGGCCAAGGAGCAUCGUGAGCGUCCUCGGAAAGAUUCUGAAAGCAAGAGCUCGUCUAAGGGAGAUGCAGAACGAGACGGCAGCAGUAAAGGCAGCCGUGAGCCUUCGUCAUUCUCCUUGUCCUCCUCUACGAAGAAGCCUGAGAUCAAAGUAAAAGAAGAGAGCAAAGCGCCGCCCAAAGCCGCUUUCAAAGAGCCCAAGCUGACGCUCAAGGAGCCCAAGAUGGAAGGAACGAGCCCUAAAGGAGGUGGUCCGGGUGGAGGAGGAGGAGGCGGUGGAGGAGGCGGAGGGGCCGAGAUCAAAACGGGGAGCAAGCGCCCUUCCAAUGCCGAUUCCCCCAAGUCCAGCGUUAAGAAACCCAAAAAGGGAGGAGGAGAAAACCAGAAAAGUUCGGGAGGCGGGGGUUUUCCAGGCACCUCCCCCCGGGUCUUGUCGUCCUCUUCCUCCUCCUCCAUGGCUCCAGCGCCGGGUUUUGGAGACAAGAAGAGCUCGAAGCAAAGAGCGUCAUGGAUCAAGAAUAAACCCGAGACCCCGGAGGUCAAAGAGCAGAAGAAGCUGCCCGAUUCGGACGAGUCGAACUCUGACGACGAGCUAUCGUCCAAGUCUGAGGUCAGAGCGAGAGCAGCGCUGCAGAUGCAGUCUGCACCCUCCAGUCCAUCAAACUCUAGUUCCAGUUCGGAGUCCAGCUCUGACUCCGACUUUGAGCCGCAACAGAAACAAGGCCAAGGACCUCUGCGCUCCAUGGUGGAGGACAUGCAGUCUGAAGAGUCUGACGAAGAUGACAGCAGCUCAGAUGACGAGACACCAGUGAAGAACAAUCCUCCUAACCGUGACUCAAGGUUGAGUUUAGACAGCGAGAGCGACAGCAGCGACGGACCUCACCGGCCGAGUCGAGACCCGCCGCCCCCUGCGCCCAAACACACCUCCGCCUCCAAUAAUAAUAAUAAGGUGACGGGGAGGAAGAGUCCCGAGCCGUGUCUGAGGCAGGAGAAGGUUAUGAAGAAGGGCUACGACAAGGUAGGAAGGCAGUGACCCCGAGUUUUACACACUGUUUUUCCAGCACAAGUGGGGGCACAUUUGCAUAUUAUUUACAUACUCUACUGUGAUUGGUCAGUGGUUUCAAUUAGCAUACGGCAUAACCAUUCUUUUUGUUCGGUUUGUAUACGAAUCUCUGAAACGUCCUUUUGCUAAAACCCUUACAGACGUUUUAUACUUUUAAUAGAAGUUUUACGAAAAACGUAGAUGAGUCUCUAUAUUAACUGUAACCCUGAACACAAGCAGCGGCAGCAGCGUCAUGGAGUCAUUUGUUUUAUUUAAUUAUUUUAAAUUAUUUUCAGGUUAAAUGAAGCUCCAAAUUUAGUAAAAGUAAAAUCAUAUAUUUCCUAAAUUGUAAUAAAAAUAGCAUCCUAAUAAAAACGAUCGAUUAAAGAUUGAUUUUUUUCGGGAUUGUACGUAAUUUGAUUAUAAUAUAAUGUAUAAUAGACCAUUUAUUUUAUUUUUAUUUAUUUAACUUUUUUUUUUAUUUUUUAUGCAGUUUAAUAAAAAAACACGCAAAACAAAUCCUGCAAGGAAGCGUGUGUGUGUGUGUGUGUGUGUGUGUGUGUGUGUGUGUGUGUGUGUGUGUGUGUGUGUGUGUGUGUGAGACUGUAUUAUAACCUCAUUUCAGCCUCCUUGACAGUUGCAUUACAGAAAUGAAGCGAUGUUAAUGAAUGAAUAUUAAUCAGCAUUGUGAUUGGGUCCUGCUUAUGAAUAUUCAUUACUAGUGAUUAUGUAGACAGAGAAGAGCAUCAUUUAUUACACCAAUUAAUACCCCGGCAAGAUAAAAUCACAUCCAUGAUUCUGUUGUAUCUUAUUAUAUAGUACUGAUACAGACUGAUGACGAUAAAUCCAGAUUUUUCCCCUAUGUCAUUUUUGUAUCUUUCUCUCUCUCCUGUUUUUUCUCUCUCUCUUUCUUUUUGUCUCUCCCUCCCUUUCUCUUUCUAUCUCUUUCUUUCUCUCUCUCUCUCCACCCCUUUCAUUCUCUCUCUCUCUCUCUCUCAGGCAUACACAGAGGAGUUAGUGGACCUCCAUCGCAGACUAAUGGCACUGCGAGAAAGAAAUGUCUUACAGCAGAUCGUGAACCUGAUCGAGGAAACGGGCCACUUCAACGUCACCAACACCACCUUCGACUUCGACCUGUUCUCGCUGGACGAGUCGACGGUGCGCAAACUGCAGAGCUACCUCGAGGCCACAGCCACGUGACAUGAAGCGGGGCGGGUCCGAAGGGGGGGCGGAGCUUGCCCUCAUUCUCCACACCGAGCUUGAGGGUGGGCUCAAAGGCACGGCUGGAGGAAAAGCAAGAGAAGCGGCGGCGUGAACAGAAUCAUCGGCGAGGCGUCAGGAAGACUAAAGCACAGAGAGACGGCGAGAGAAGGAACGAAGCGACGACGUCGGGGUGGCACUUCCUGUCCGAGUGGUGGCGACGUUCUCAGAGCUGCGUGAUGAAGAGCACGACCGACCGCUCGCUUUUCAGUUUGCCUCACCACGCAAACUACAGCCUGCUAAAAAGUGUGUGUGUGUGUGUGUGUCUUCAUUUUUCCUUCUCUCCUCUUCCUCCAGCACUUGAGCAUUCAUCCUGAAAGUAGCCAUGCUCUCACAUCCAGCUCCGUUUUUUUAAUAUUUUCUUUUUCAUUUUUGUACAGAAGUAUUUUUGAUGGAGGGAGACGCGAGCAAGAUGUGAGAGAUGAGCGAUCGUAGGGGUUUUUUUCUUUUGUCGCUUAGGGCUAGCGCUUAGUGCCUUUCCAUCAACCAGCCGACUGCUCGACUGACGUUCGAGAACAGUGACGAAAGCUGUUGAAAGCGUUGUGUGACCCUCGGCGUUGCUGACGACACACACACACACACACACACUCGCGUGUCCUCCUUCGGUCAUGCCUGAUGCCUGCAAAACUAGUGUUUCCCUCCGACCGCGUCCCGUGGCUUCGCGCCUCCCAGUUUCUUGCCAGUGAGUAUUAACGACUGUGUUUCGCCAAGCAGGCCUUUUAGAGACUCCUUGAAUAUUGUACAUAGAUGUGUGCAACACGCGAAAGUAUUCGGGGAUCAUGUGUUUUUGUUUGUUUGUUUUUUUUUUUUAUAUAACUUUUAUUUUAGGGUUCUCGUGGUGUAACGAAGUGCAGGCGUCCAGAGAAGUCUGUAAAGUGACGUCUCCUGAUCUAAAAGAAAUUUUGAUUGGCGAAAGUGAUGCCGUUUGUUGAUUCUCGUCGUCACGGCUACCUUCCAACCUGGGCACAUGUCAUCAGACGUUGAUGUGAUGUUCCAGGUUUAUUCAUGCAAGUCCCAGACAGCCAAUCAGAAACGAGCAUUUCCCAGCGUACCGUUUGAGUCCGUUGUAGAAGAGGCCGCGUCUCGAAUCGCACACCGUGACCUUUGACACUUUACCACACGCGGAAGGAGACGACGAGUGUUCGUCAUCCUCGUACUUCAGUGGCAAAGAGACGGAGCAUUUCUCAUUUCACACAAAUCGGUUACGACCUGAUUAAGUGUCGAUCCCAAACGAUUCGUCUCAUAUGAUUCCUCCGAAUCGUUCGAACGAUUCCCGUGCGGUUCGACGUUUUAUCGGUUCCACACUUACUAAAAGUUCUGCAGUUUGUUGAGUAGAAAUGGAGGAACGCCGUCCAUCGUCCUGGUUGUUUUCCCACACGCUCUCUCGAGUUAUGUGAUUUGAGACGCGGCUCGGUUCGGCUCAAAGAUGCGGAGCACAAAGUACGACAAGGGAAGUCACGCUUUGAGGACAAGGAGACGCGCGCCUUCUCUGGAUGUCCGCGGCGACGGCGUUACUCUCGCGUUCCCUUUAAGUUCAGAGGGAAAUCUCGAGUCGUGUUUUUUUUUUUUUUAAUUUGGUUUAAUAUUUUUACCCCUCACUGUGACGCUCGUGUUCGUCUUCUUUCUUCUCCACGGCCGGCGUUCGGCUUUCUUAUGCUAAUAGAUUUAUGAGGACUGACAGCAGCCACGCCUUUUUUUUUUUUUUUUUUAACCCUGUGUGUGUGUGUGUGUGUGAGAGUGAGAGAGAGCGAGAGUGAGAGCGAAGAGAGAUGUAUACGCGCGUGAGUACGCAAACCAUUCAGUCCUCUAUUGUGCAUGAACUUUUGACCCGUCGUCCCCCCCCCCCCCCCCCCCCCCCCCCCCGCCCCAAAGUCCGGGUUCAUGAACUCUUCGCUUUUGACCGGACGCUUUGAACGAUUAAAAAAGGGGGGGGUGUCCACUGAAGCGGGUGGGGCUAAGUGCUGUUUGAUUGACGUCUCUGUGUGAAGCGAACCCGAGACCAGUCAGCGUGUAUGUUUAAAUAUUUUUUAUUUGUAUACCUCUGCACUUUUUUUUUUUUUUUGGCUGUGGUGACUCGAGUACUUAAUUAUUUGAACUGUAUUUUUAAAGAAAAUUUAUACGAUAUUUACAUGCAAUAUGCUUUUUACUGUAAUGUUUGUUUUUUUUCGUUUCCUCUCACUAUGAUUUCACGUCGGCAUGUUCGUGACUGCAGGUUAGACCCACGAGACUGUUAUUUUUAUUUGUCGUCGUCAGAGUUUUCUCGGGAAUCCACUACGAGCCUUCGAAGAGCAAAACAUUUCCUGGAGCGACGAAGUGGCCGCCGCUGCCGCACCGCGCACCGCUCGCCUGCACCGCACCCGUGUGACGUAACUAAAAGGAGCGUUAAACACUAAUCCUCCCUUUUCUACCUUCACGUGGACUUCGGUUUCCUCAACCUUCUCACGUCACUCCUCCGCUUCUUCACGUUUUCCGGCUACACACACGUAUGUAUAUACAGCAGACGACUCAUCGGUCACCUCACACGGUCGCUCCUUCCUCUCCGGGCGCUCCAGGUGCAUUGUGGGAUAUCACCCGGAGACUGACGGAGAGGGGUUUUCUUUCUUCGUGACACAGUGCUUGUCGUAUCUCUUGUGUUCUGGGGAUUAAACAUGUACGGACGAUGUUUUUGUUUUCUGUUUGUUUGUUGUUGUUUUUUUUUAACAUACCGGGCGCAUGGAACAAAGUCACGACUUUGUGGGGAAUUGAGUGCCACCGUGUGGUCAUCUAAUGCAAGCGCGACGACGAACGAUGUUACCUUUGUAAUGUUUUUAUCUCAUAAAAAAAGGCAUAUGAUUUAAUAAACUCAUGGAGUCGUAAUACUCACUCAUUCA